UUACCCAAAGUGACCAAGCAAGAUCACUACCGAGACAGCUGAUGUUGUCAUGAGUACCCAAAACAUAACCACACCUACAGAGCUUUAAAAGCAAAUGCUGUCCUUCUGAAAGUAACUCUAGACUAGAAAUAAUGAUUCAUUCUCCUCCUCUGUGGACUGUUCCCACCCCUCUCUGAAGAACAUGUUGAACUUCAGUAAGACAGAAUUGUGAGUUGGAAAGGAACUGAAUUCCUGACUUGAUCCUACCAUGAGUACCAAGCUCUUCUGGUCUGUCAUCAUUUAUUUCCUGGGAACAGGUCCCAUGGAUGCUAAGAAUGCAAGAAUUACCCAGAGCCCAAGACACAUAGUCACAAGAAUGGGACAGAAAGUGACACUAAGAUGUGAACAGAAUUUGGGCCAUAAUUACAUGUAUUGGUAUAGACAAGAUCUGGGCCAAGGACUCCAACUCAUUUAUUACUCUACAUCUGAAAAAAACUUUCAGGAAGGAGACAUUCCUGAGGGAUACAACGCCGCUCGAGAAAAGCCAGAGCUUUUUUCUCUUACUCUGCCAUCAUCCAGAAUCAACCAAACAUCAUUGUAUCUCUGUGCUAGCAGUAGAGACACAGUAAGGCAAAGUUCCAUGGAUGCCAAAGAUGCCAGAAUCAUCCAAACUCCAAGAAAUCUAAUCACAGGAAUAGGACAGACUGUGCACCGAAUUGUGAAGAGAAUUUGGGACCUGAACGCAUGUACUGGUACCGCCAGGACCAGGGCCAGGAGCUUCAGCUCAUUUAUUUCUCCAUAACAAGAGGAAACAAAGAGAAAGGAGACAUUUCUGAGGGAUACGAUGUCUCUCGGGAAAAGGAGACAUUUGAUCUCAUUCUACGGUCAUCCAGAACCACACAAACAUCUUUUUAUCUCUGUGCCAGCAGCAGACACAAUAAGGCAAAGUUAGCUCUUCUCCAUGCAGAAACCUCUUUCAUCUCUUACUGCAACUAUGAGGUGUUGAAUUUUCCUGGCACUUGCUACCCUUCCCCCAACACAGGAAACUAUUACUACUUUGAGAAAACUAUGAGCUAAACCACUCUUAUAGUAUUUAUCACAUACUGGCAUGAAUUGCAGAUCCUUUGAAUAUGUCACAUAUCACUUAAUGGGCCAUGAAAUCCUUGAAAGUAACUUUGUGUGUUGUUCAGUCAUUUCAGUCACGUCCAACUCUGUUUGACCCCAUUUUAAGGCUGUCUUGGCA
Non-coding RNA from Vombatus ursinus (common wombat), 1222 nucleotides. The record is from the annotation of a RefSeq genome assembly. NCBI's taxonomy places the organism in Eukaryota, Metazoa, Chordata, Mammalia, Diprotodontia, Vombatidae.